Molecule: ribosomal RNA, 336 nt
Filed under: uncultured soil bacterium
Lineage: Bacteria
Description: bacterial SSU rRNA
Rfam family: Bacterial small subunit ribosomal RNA
Source: RNAcentral
AGGACGAACGCUGGCGGCGUGCUUAACACAUGCAAGUCGAACGGUGAAGGAGAGCUUGCUCUCCGGAUCAGUGGCGAACGGGUGAGUAACACGUGAGUAACCUGCCCUUGACUCUGGGAUAAGCGUUGGAAACGACGUCUAAUACCGGAUACGAGCUCCAGUCGCAUGGCUAGGAGCUAGGAAAGUAAUUUCGGCAAGGGAUGGACUCGCGGCCUAUCAGCUAGUUGGUGAGGUAAUGGCUCGACCAAGGCGACGACGGGUAGCCGGCCUGGAGGAGGGUCGACCGGCCACGACGUGGGACUGGAGACCACGGCCCAGACCUCCGACGGGAGCAGC